Molecule: ribosomal RNA, 264 nt
Filed under: uncultured archaeon
Lineage: Archaea
Description: partial 16S ribosomal RNA
Rfam family: Archaeal small subunit ribosomal RNA
Source: RNAcentral
AGGGUGUAAACGCUGCAGACUUGGUGUUGGGAACCCUUCGGGGGUGGCUCAGUGCCGGAGAGAAGUUGUUAAGUCUGCUACUUGGGGAGGUACGUCCGCAAGGAUGAAACUUAAAGGAAUUGGCGGGGGAGGCACCGCAACGGGAGGAGCGUGCGGUUUAAUUGGACUCAACGCCGGACAACUCACCGGGGACGACAGCAAUAUGUAGGCCAGGCUGAAGACCUUGCCUGAAUCGCUGAGAGGUGGUGCAUGGCGUAGACGUCU